Molecule: ribosomal RNA, 155 nt
Filed under: Musa nagensium
Lineage: Eukaryota; Viridiplantae; Streptophyta; Magnoliopsida; Zingiberales; Musaceae
Description: 5.8S ribosomal RNA
Rfam family: 5.8S ribosomal RNA
About the family: 5.8S ribosomal RNA (5.8S rRNA) is a component of the large subunit of the eukaryotic ribosome. It is transcribed by RNA polymerase I as part of the 45S precursor that also contains 18S and 28S rRNA.
Source: RNAcentral
UCUCGGCAACGAAUAUCUCAGCUCUCGCAUCGAUGAAGAACGUAGUGAAAUGCGAUACCUGGUGUGAAUUGCAGAAUCCCGUGAACCAUCAAGUCUUUAAAUGCAAGUUGCGCCCGAGGCCAUCCGGCUAAGGGCACGCUUGCCUGGGUGUCACG